RNAcentral lists this microRNA precursor (95 nucleotides) under Nicotiana sylvestris (wood tobacco). RNAcentral's name for it is "MIR6152 microRNA precursor family". It matches the Rfam family "MIR6152 microRNA precursor family". Lineage: Eukaryota; Viridiplantae; Streptophyta; Magnoliopsida; Solanales; Solanaceae. The record is from Rfam by way of RNAcentral. RNAcentral also lists the same sequence under 1 other name.
UGGAUAGAUUAUUGUAUUCGACUGUAUUCACGGCGUGAAACAGGGGAUUACACUGUUUUUAAACGGAGGUGAAUCAAUUAACAUAAUAGACUCCU